GUUGAAACUAGAAGCAAUGAAUUACAAAAAAGACAAAACAAGAUCCUAUACUCCCCAUAUGACAAACCCAAGGCAACAUUCCUCAUGAAUCUAGAGCCUAAACUCUAAUACAACUUUGUCACGACCCAAUUUCUAAGUCAGACCAGCAUUAGGACUUGGGUCUAAGGGUCUCGAAACCCGUUUUAAACCUAAGUAGUCUAUAACCUAAUAACAAA
Molecule: unclassified non-coding RNA, 215 nt
Filed under: Hevea brasiliensis (rubber tree)
Lineage: Eukaryota; Viridiplantae; Streptophyta; Magnoliopsida; Malpighiales; Euphorbiaceae
Source: RNAcentral